Molecule: long non-coding RNA, 723 nt
Organism: Balaenoptera ricei (Rice's whale)
Lineage: Eukaryota; Metazoa; Chordata; Mammalia; Artiodactyla; Balaenopteridae
Exons: 4
Source: RefSeq, a predicted model, not a curated record
AGCGCCCCGCGCCCCCGCCACCGGGUCCGCAGGCCGGUCCGGUCCCUGGGAUGCGCCGGGCGGGCAGCUUUGGCUCUGGCCCGCCAGGAAAGGCCCUGUGACCUUGGCCCGGCUCCGGGUUCGAAUCCGCCUCCUCCACUGGCUGGCUCUGUGACCUUGGGCCGGGCCCUUCGCCCGUGUCCAGGCCACGAACCCCGUCAGACCCUCCCGGGCCUUCCAGUGGGGCCGCUCCGUCUGGACCCUCCUCCUUCCUGGGCCCCUUGCCCAUCAUCAGCAAGCCCCAGCAGAGCACAGGGUGAUACAGGCAAGAGUCCUUCUGGCGCCUGGGGACAGGAGCAGCCUCUCUGGGGAGGUGAGCUGAACCAGAGCCAAUCACCGUCAGAGCAAAGGACUUUCAGCAGUGCGAGACUCAAGCAGGGGGAAGCUCAGCAUGUCCCUGGAACCAACAAAAGCAAGCCUCUCUACACUUGGAUUCAUCGUGUUUCAAGUACUCAGCAGCCACAUGUGGCUCAUGGCAACCAUAUUAGACAGCAACCUGUAAUUUUUUACUCAGAAACAAAAAUAUCAUGCAAGAAUGAAGGUAAAAUAAUGGCAUUUUCAGAUUAACAAAAAUAGAAUUUAUUGCCAGCAGGAAUUCACUAAAAGAAACACUAAAGGAAAUUCUAUGGGCAGUAGGAAAAUUAUUCCAGAUUGAAAUGGAGGAAUAAAGACCAAAGACAUACA